UUAAAAUGAUGAACAAUUUCGUAGCGAUGGGCGGACUAAAAGAAGUCGAAGCAUUUCAUAUGUAGAAAAUCGCAUGAACUGAUAAGA
Molecule: non-coding RNA, 87 nt
Organism: Plasmodium malariae
Lineage: Eukaryota; Apicomplexa; Aconoidasida; Haemosporida; Plasmodiidae
Source: Rfam